UUUAUCAGAAAGAAGAACGUGGAAGCCCAAAUCCAUCUCUCAGCCUUUGGAAGGAAAGGAACUAAAAGAGCAGCCUUGAACUUGGGCGACACGUCAGCACAGCUGUGGUUAGCGGAACUGAAACAGCUGAGCGGGCGCGUGCGUGCAGCAGGAGCGCUGUCUGCACGAGCACAGGGAGCAAACCCUACCUCACUCCUUCAAAGUCCUGCUCUGGCUUCUGCUUUUUGCUCUGGGGAGAACCUACAACAGCAGAGAGACACAUUUGCAUGGGGCUGCGCCAUCCACACGGAACUCAGCAGCGUCUUGUGCACUGGGUCCCAAACAGGCUACCUCGCUUUGGGACCUGCACCGCCUGAGCUGGAGCCUGAUCACAAGGUUGAGAGCCACGGUUGUAGAAACUGCGUCCCCACAUCACUGUUACGUUUCUACUGAGAAAGCAGACUGGAAACACACAUGCAAGUCUUGCCUGACAGCUCCAUGUGUGACAGGCACCUUCAAGACUUGGACCUGACUACCUGUGACC
Molecule: non-coding RNA, 523 nt
Organism: Sus scrofa (pig)
Lineage: Eukaryota; Metazoa; Chordata; Mammalia; Artiodactyla; Suidae
Source: RefSeq, a predicted model, not a curated record